This 422-nucleotide ribosomal RNA is filed under the name uncultured eukaryote. RNAcentral's name for it is "bacterial SSU rRNA". It matches the Rfam family "Eukaryotic small subunit ribosomal RNA", at positions 592 to 1018 of the family's 1831-position model. The record is from RNAcentral.
CAAUAGCGUAUAUUAAAGUUGUUGCAGUUAAAAAGCUCGUAGUCGCAUUUCUGGAACGGAAAGUCAAUCCAGCCUUAGGUUGGUAUUCGACUCUUCUGUUCCAUCUUUGAGUGGUCCAUUCUGGCAUUAAGUUGUCGGAGUGUUAGCCGCUCAUCGUUUACUGUGAGAAAAUUAGAGUGUUCAAAGCAGGCUUAGGCCGUUGAAUGUAUUAGCAUGGAAUAAUAAGAUAGGACCUUGGUACUAUUUUGUUGGUUUGCGCACCAAGGUAAUGAUUAAUAGGGACAGUUGGGGGUAUUCGUAUUUCAUUGUCAGAGGUGAAAUUCUUGGAUUUUUGAAAGACGAACUACUGCGAAAGCAUUUACCAAGGAUGUUUUCAUUAAUCAAGAACGAAAGUUAGGGGAUCGAAGACGAUCAGAUACCAU